CCUACGGGAGGCAGCAGUGGGGAAUAUUGGACAAUGGGGGGAACCCUGAUCCAGCCAUGCCGCGUGUGUGAAGAAGGCCCUCGGGUUGUAAAGCACUUUCAGUGAGGAAGAACGCCUGGUGGUUAAUACCCAUCAGGAAAGACAUCACUCACAGAAGAAGCACCGGCUAACUCCGUGCCAGCAGCCGCGGUAAUACGGAGGGUGCGAGCGUUAAUCGGAAUUACUGGGCGUAAAGCGCGCGUAGGUGGCUUGAUAAGCCGGUUGUGAAAGCCCCGGGCUCAACCUGGGAACGGCAUCCGGAACUGUCAAGCUAGAGUGCAGGAGAGGAAGGUAGAAUUCCCGGUGUAGCGGUGAAAUGCGUAGAGAUCGGGAGGAAUACCAGUGGCGAAGGCGGCCUUCUGGACUGACACUGACACUGAGGUGCGAAAGCGUGGGUAGUAAACAGGAUUAGAUACCCUGGUAGUC
RNAcentral lists this ribosomal RNA (465 nucleotides) under Vreelandella stevensii. Its description in RNAcentral is "partial 16S ribosomal RNA". It matches the Rfam family "Bacterial small subunit ribosomal RNA", at positions 338 to 795 of the family's 1533-position model. The record is from RNAcentral. Lineage: Bacteria; Pseudomonadati; Pseudomonadota; Gammaproteobacteria; Oceanospirillales; Halomonadaceae.